CCAAAGUGCGUGAGGUGAUCAGUACAAGGGAGACUAAGGAAAGGUUGAGGAUUUGGGGAAAAAAACAGUUUAUUGAAAAGCCACACCCAGAAAAAGUUGCAACAGGUCAUGAGUUUAUCGAAACAUUCUGAACGGGAGGAAGAAACGAACUUUGUUAAAACUACCUCUAAGUGAAAUCGAGGAAAGUGUGGCAAUACAGCAAAAAUUCAAUGAAGAAAAUGAUGCUAAUUAAAGUAAAAAAAAUAGCAAUUAAGUUUAGCAAUAAAGUUACGCAUUAUAAGUAAUGUGUAAGGUCAAUUUUGCAUUUCAAUGUAGCCUGUCUAGAGGAAAGGUUAUGUUAAGCGGUAGCUCAGGAAAUGAAAACCUUCCAGCCUCUUUGACCUUGAAGGUAAAUAACAUUUCAUAAGCAAGUUUCUUUCUUUACAUUCUUUCUUCUUAUCUAUAAAUAUAUUUGUUAUUUAUAAAGUGCAUUUUCAUAUUUAAAAGCAUAUAAAACAAAAAAUUAAUGUGGUUUUGGGGGGCUAGAAUAAAUUAAUUGCAUUUCUAUUAAUUUAAAUGGGGAAAUUUGAUUUUACAGAUGGGGAAAUUGAGUUACAAGCUUGGCCAUGGAAUGAAUGAAUUAAACUCGUAUGUCAAGGUACCACUGUAUCACUAUCUGCAUUUUACUGAUGAAGAAACUGAGACUAAAACUCAUCAAAGUCCAGUGGCAGGACAAAGGUCAGGAGGACUGGACAUGGCCUAGAAUGCAAUGGAUGACCUUGGCUUCUUUGAUGUCUGACCAAACUCUUAAGUGCUCCACAGCAUCUGUUUCAAUUGCUUUUAAUGGCUGUUUGGAACAAAUUAUUCUGCCUCUUCUGCCAGAGGAAGUCUUAAUGUGUUUGGAGUAG
Molecule: long non-coding RNA, 887 nt
Filed under: Monodelphis domestica (gray short-tailed opossum)
Lineage: Eukaryota; Metazoa; Chordata; Mammalia; Didelphimorphia; Didelphidae
Description: lncRNA (ENSMODG00000030259.2)
Source: RNAcentral